Molecule: transfer RNA, 64 nt
Filed under: Gastrocopta cristata
Lineage: Eukaryota; Metazoa; Mollusca; Gastropoda; Stylommatophora; Pupillidae
Description: tRNA-Trp
Source: RNAcentral
AUAGCUGUAAGAUAAUAAAACUAUCGACCUUCAAAGUCGAAUAUAUGCGUUUGCGUUAGCUAUG